Molecule: ribosomal RNA, 441 nt
Filed under: uncultured soil bacterium
Lineage: Bacteria
Description: bacterial SSU rRNA
Rfam family: Bacterial small subunit ribosomal RNA
Source: RNAcentral
AGAUUGAACGCUGGCGGCAUGCCUAACACAUGCAAGUCGAACGGGAGUAGCAAUACUCUAGUGGCGGACGGGUGAGGAAUACGUAGGAAUUUGCCCUUAAGUGGGGGAUAACCCGGGGAAACCCGGAUUAAUACCGCAUGACCUCGAAAGAGCAAAGUGGGGGAUCGCAAGACCUCACGCUUUUGGAGAAGCCUACGUCGGAUUAGCUAGUUGGUGAGGUAAUGGCUCACCAAGGCGACGAUCCGUAACUGGUCUGAGAGGAUGAUACAGUCACACCGGAACUGAGACGACCGGUCCGGACCUCCGUACGGGAGGCAGCGAGGUAGGGAAUAGUUAGGAACAAGUGGGGCACCGAAAGUCCUAGACUCCAGACAAAUCGGCCGCGUGGUGUAGAAAGGAAGGCCGUUCGGGUUAGGUAACGACGUAACGUUUAAAGGUUAA